RNAcentral lists this unclassified non-coding RNA (271 nucleotides) under uncultured fungus. RNAcentral's name for it is "partial contains small subunit ribosomal RNA, internal transcribed spacer 1, and 5.8S ribosomal RNA". The stretch from base 1 to 73 matches the Rfam family "Eukaryotic small subunit ribosomal RNA", at positions 1759 to 1831 of the family's 1831-position model. Lineage: Eukaryota; Fungi. The record is from RNAcentral.
GCAAACUUGGUCAUUUAGAGGAAGUAAAAGUCGUAACAAGGUCUCCGUAGGUGAACCUGCGGAGGGAUCAUUACCGAGUGAGGGCUCGCCGAGCCCGACCUCCCACCCUUUGCAUUCCGAACUUUGUUGCCUCGGGGGCGACCCGGGCCUCCGGCCGUCGGGGCCCCCGGUGGACCUUUCAACGCUGCAUUUUUGCGUCGGAUCGAAUAGAAAAUUGAUGAAAACUUUCAACAACGGAUCUCUUGGUUCUGGCAUCGAUGAAGAACGCAGC